UGCCCCGUAGCUCAGUGGAUGAGAGCGCCGCCGUGCGGAGGCGGAGGUCGCACGUUCGAGUCGUGCCGGGGCAGCCA
RNAcentral lists this transfer RNA (77 nucleotides) under Bradyrhizobium oropedii. Its description in RNAcentral is "tRNA-Arg". It matches the Rfam family "tRNA". Rfam says of the family: Transfer RNA (tRNA) molecules are approximately 80 nucleotides in length. The record is from RNAcentral. Lineage: Bacteria; Pseudomonadati; Pseudomonadota; Alphaproteobacteria; Hyphomicrobiales; Nitrobacteraceae. RNAcentral also lists the same sequence under 2 other names.